Molecule: long non-coding RNA, 1935 nt
Organism: Erinaceus europaeus (western European hedgehog)
Lineage: Eukaryota; Metazoa; Chordata; Mammalia; Eulipotyphla; Erinaceidae
Exons: 3
Source: RefSeq, a predicted model, not a curated record
CUGGCUGACUCAGUGAGACAGCAAAGGGUGAGAAUCCUAUAACCAAACUGCUGUGUUGGGACUCCUACCCCUCAGUUGUUUUGCAAUCUUAGAAAAGUUACUGUAAACUUCCUGGAUCAGUUCUCACCUGUAAAAUGAAGAAUGAUGUUAGGUAGUGUCUUCUUUCAGAUUUAUGCAACUAUCUUUCAAAUGACUGCGGGGCAGAGUUCACUGGAGAUGGGGCUACAGAGCAGCAGCAGCUGUGUUUCUCUCCUCUCCCAGGUCAACUAGGAAUACCAAAGGAGACCACCUGGGACCGCAACAAGACAGGAAUAGAAUGACUUCAGGAAUCCACCAAAUCACUGGUGAGUGCAAACACAUGUGGCUCAUGGACAGCAAAGAACCUAAGGAGAGAUUGAGUGGCUGGUAACAGUUCGGCAGUUUACCAGUUAAGGCACUACCUCCAGUCUGUUUUACCAACAAAAAGACUGCUGAAGGGGGGAGAGACUCCCCUAAGACUCACCAAAUGUAACUGUGAGUCCCUAUUGCUACUGCCCUCAGAAGCUGAAGCAGCAGGGGGAGGCCCUGUGCUGACAUCUGGGAACAGAGAACUGACCAGGAAACUCAGGAGAAGAGCUACACCUUGGUGGCCUAGUAGUGGGGCUGUAUAGUGUGAGCCUUUGCACAUUGUUCUCCUGAUGAGAACAUGGUGAAUAAUUGCCUCAGAACCUACAGAGUGUAAAUGGCACUUGUUUAGAAACUCACAGGCCCCAGCAGUGCUGCCCCGCUUGGUAGAGAAGCUGAAAUGAUCCUGGAGAUUUGGAUCCUUGGGGUGUGAGAGUCUCUUUGCAUGAUCACUGUGCUAUCUGUCCCCCAACCUGCUUUAUCUCUUGGUCAGGAGUGAGUGAUUAAGCUAAGUAGCCUACUUAUAGUUUUUUUUAAAUUUUAUUUAUUUAUUCCCAUUUGUUGCCCUUGUUUUAUUGUUGUAGUUAUUAUUAUUGUUGUUGUUGGAUAGGACAGAGAUAAAUGGAGAGAGGAGGGAAAGACAGAGAGGGGGAGAGAAAGACAGACACCUGCAGACCUGCUUCACCGCCUGUGAAGCAACACCCCUGUAGGUGGGGAGCCAGGGGCUCAAACUGGGAUCAUUACUCUGGCCCUUGUGCUUGGAGCCACCUGCACUUAACCCACUGCACUACCACCUGACUCCCAGCCUACUUAUAGUUUAAAAGCCCUCAGGCUCCCAUAGCCUACAGGGAAGAAAAAGAACGAAGGAGACUUUUAACAGUCUCUGUGCUCCAACUCAGGGAUUAAAAUAAUAUUGAAACAACUGUUAAUUUCCACAUCUGUGAACUCUUUAAGUACCUUAUAUAGACACAAGUCAAUCCAGGCAAGAGUGAUCAGUAAUUUGAAAAGUACUGAAAGUACUUUUUUCUAUAUAUGUUGUAGGAUGGGGCCCACUGUCCCAGAAAGUCCAGGCCAUUGUUUCCUUGAGGUCCAAGCGGGUUGACCUCCAACUCUCCCUUCAGGUGGAGACAAAGGCAGGUUCCCCUGACCUUCUGAACUAAUGAUGGAUGUCCUCUCUGGAAUGGGGGCUACCUUUCUGCACAUGCCCCUCCUCUCCCCUUAAAACAAAGGCCAUGAAUUACUGUACAUUGUGUUUGGCCUAACUUGAAAACCACCACAUAGGUUCUUGCUCAACUACCCCCUUCCCUCCUCCACUGAAGUGCCUAUAAUUUACCCCUGGGGUACUAUGCAUUAUGAAGCUUGUAAUCAAACCUUGUAUGGUAAUGUUAUACUUGUGAUCAAAUAGUUUGCAGGUCAAAAUGCGGCUAUGCACUGUGUUGCUCUGUGUUUGGGUUAAUGAUUAUCUUGACCAUCUCCCUGUGCAAUGAAUAUAAUUCGCCUGCUUUUUCUCUCAAUAAAUGCAUCGCCCACCUUUCAGAGGCUGCUCCUGGA